GUAAGGAUGCCUAUUAUGAGACAGGCGCUUAAUAUGAGAUAGCAAGGUAUAAGUCAAACUAUUCACGUCAGUCAUUUGGGCGCUAGUGUCGCGCGAUCAGCACAGCAACACCACUAAACGUCUGCCAGUGCGUGCCGGCCACCGGCGAUCGAAAUACGUGUGCGUGUAGUUUUUACAUUUUCGUAAAACAAAAUAUUUUUCGUCAAAUGUUUACAAGAUGCCUCCCAUCAAAAGGAAGACAGGGGUCGAUAAUGCCAUGAUGCAAGGUGUGAAUGCAGUUCGAAGAAACGAAAUGGGUUACUUAAGAGCUGCAAAACAAUUUAGUGUUCCUAAGGGUACCCUUGAGCGCUAUGUAAAAAAAGAUGUCCGUGCAGAAGAUCUUGUCCAGGAUAGCAGUGGGGAUGAGUAUGAUGCUGAAUGUCCCUACUGCAGCGGAAACUUUUCACAAAAUACAAGAGGAGAAAAAUGGGCUAAGUGUCAAGGUUGUUUUAAAUGGGCUCAUGAGGAAUGUGGAGAAAUAGCAUAGGAUAAUUUUUUGUGUUCUUUAUGCUUAGAUAUGUAAGACAUGAUAAGAUUUACAACAUUUUAGAAGAUUUUGAUUUUUGUUAUUACUUUUAUAACUUUUCUUUUGAUAUUUGUAUUAAAAGUGAUUAUGAUUAGUGAGUAAAGCUCGAAUUGUUUGUUUGUAUUUGUUUGUUUUAAAGACUGAUACUUGUCUAUAGUUUCAUGAUUAAAGUACCAAAAUAUUAAGACUCAUGUUUGUGUAUAAUAUUUAAUUAAUAAGUAACAAUAAAAAUGUGAUUAUUAAAUUAA
Molecule: long non-coding RNA, 813 nt
Organism: Helicoverpa armigera (cotton bollworm)
Lineage: Eukaryota; Metazoa; Arthropoda; Insecta; Lepidoptera; Noctuidae
Exons: 2
Source: RefSeq, a predicted model, not a curated record